This 388-nucleotide ribosomal RNA is filed under the name uncultured bacterium. RNAcentral describes it as "bacterial SSU rRNA". It matches the Rfam family "Bacterial small subunit ribosomal RNA", at positions 28 to 417 of the family's 1533-position model. The record is from RNAcentral.
GACGAACGCUGGCGGCGUGCUUAACACAUGCAAGUCGAGCGGUAAGGCCCUUUCGGGGGUACACGAGCGGCGAACGGGUGAGUAACACGUGGGUGACCUGCCCUCAGCUCUGGGAUAAGCCUGGGAAACCGGGUCUAAUACCGGAUAUGACUCCAUGACGCAUGUUGUGGGGUGGAAAGCCUUGUGCGGCUGAGGACGGGCCCGCGGCCUAUCAGCUUGUUGGUGGGGUGAUGGCCUACCAAGGCGACGACGGGUAGCCGGCCUGAGAGGGCGACCGGCCACACUGGGACUGAGACACGGCCCAGACUCCUACGGGAGGCAGCAGUGGGGAAUCUUGCGCAAUGGGCGAAAGCCUGACGCAGCGACGCCGCGUGAGGGAUGACGGCCU